ACCAAAAAGGAAAAUGCAAAGGGAGCGAAGAUGCAAAGGGACAAGAAUGAAAAACUUCGAGAAGAGUUUUCAAAGGAGGAGGACAGGAGCAGCUACCUGGGAUCGGAAGAUAACUCGACAGGGCCUCAGCGCCAGAAACAGAGCAGUAAAAAGUGAAGCUUUGGAUACAAGUGACUGUAUAUAUAUAAGGCCCUUCGACGGUCGAAGU
This 208-nucleotide long non-coding RNA is filed under the name Elaeis guineensis (African oil palm). RNAcentral's name for it is "long non-coding RNA (EGUI_LNC063942)". Lineage: Eukaryota; Viridiplantae; Streptophyta; Magnoliopsida; Arecales; Arecaceae. The record is from RNAcentral.